Hylaeus volcanicus is the source of this 999-nucleotide long non-coding RNA. RefSeq lists it as uncharacterized. The transcript is spliced from 3 exons. The record is from RefSeq and is a predicted model, not a curated record. Lineage: Eukaryota; Metazoa; Arthropoda; Insecta; Hymenoptera; Colletidae.
AGGAAAAAGUUGUUUCAAAUCACCUCCCGAACCACCCCUUUCAAGGUGAUACAACAUUUUUGGGAUUUUUUAUUUUAUGUAAAUAGACCUUUAAUUCGCGAGAAGUGAUGGGAGUUUGGGGAAUUUUGUACGCCCUAGGGGGUGAUCCUGUAACUUUUGUCGUGGUGAAAAUGCGAGCCAACUCCCAAUUCUUGACUCUGUAACUUUCACCAUGGUGAAAAUGCGAGCCAUCUCACGGGAGUUUGUUCGAUAAAAAAUGUCUGCAGCAUCCUCGAUCACAUGUAUCAACGGCAUUACUCGAGAUACGAAAUUGAAUGACGUUUAACCUAUCUUUUAGAGAUACUAAUUGCAAUGAGAAGUUCAAUUUUCUCUCACCCACCACCAAAAUUUACUACGCAACGGCUUAGAACAAGGAGUUGUCAUUUUUUCUUUUCGUGGAAGUCGAUUUGAUGACAUGUUUUGGAUGUUUUGUGACUAAUGAGUAAUACACUUAUUACUAUGAAGACGUCGAUCAAAUUACUGGAGGCACUGAUUUUGAAAUUUGUUAUAACUAAUCAACCAAAAAUAUUUGAGAAAUAUACUUGAAAGAGAAAACUAAAACUUGUCAUUACAAAUAAGUAUAAUGUAUAGGAUGUAUGAUACAAAUUAUGAGAUGUAUAUAUUUAACAAAAUAAAAAAAAAGUAUUUUUUGCAUAAAAUAUAUUUUCAAUAAAUCAAUUCUAUUCUGUCCUUAUAUACCAAGUACAAAGAAAAUAUGUUUAUUAAAUAUAAAUGCAAAAGUAAAACAAAAUAUUAUUUGUUUAAAAUAUACUAUUUAUGUCAAGUUUAAAGAGCGAAAUUGUUAUUGAUCAAUCGUUUUUGGCACCAGUGCGGUUAUAAUACAGUACAAACAUUCUUAUAUAAAAUUCAUGGACUUAAAUGUAACAGCAAAUAAAAAUUCAAAAUUUUGUAUAAAAAAGGAAUAUUUAACGUAAAAAUGUAAACUAAAUUCUAAUAUUU